RNAcentral lists this ribosomal RNA (451 nucleotides) under uncultured bacterium. RNAcentral's name for it is "partial 16S ribosomal RNA". It matches the Rfam family "Bacterial small subunit ribosomal RNA", at positions 29 to 523 of the family's 1533-position model. The record is from RNAcentral.
AACGAACACUGGCGGCAUGCCUAACACAUGCAAGUCGAACGCCCGUAGCAAUACGGGAGUGGCAGACGGGUGCAUAACACGUGGGAACCUACCCUAGGGUUCGGAAUAACCGCGGGAAACUGCGGCUAAUACCGGAUACGUCCUCUGGGAGAAAGAUUUAUCGCCCUUGGAGGGGCCCGCGUCGGAUUAGCUAGUUGGUGAGGUAACGGCUCACCAAGGCGACGAUCCGUAGCUGAUUUGAGAGGAUGAUCAGCCACACUGGAACUGAGACACGGUCCAGACUCCUACGGGAGGCAGCAGUGGGGAAUCUUGGGCAAUGGGCGCAAGCCUGCCCCAGCCAUGCCGCGUGUGCGAAGAAGGCCUUCGGGUUGUAAAGCUCUUUUACCCGGGAUGAUAAUGACAGUACCGGGAGAAUAAGCUCCGGCUAACUUCGUGCCAGCAGCCGCCGUAA